RNAcentral lists this ribosomal RNA (165 nucleotides) under uncultured Enterococcus sp. RNAcentral describes it as "partial 16S ribosomal RNA". It matches the Rfam family "Bacterial small subunit ribosomal RNA", at positions 375 to 533 of the family's 1533-position model. Lineage: Bacteria; Bacillati; Bacillota; Bacilli; Lactobacillales; Enterococcaceae. The record is from RNAcentral.
ACGAAAGUCUGACCGAGCAACGCCGCGUGAGUGAAGAAGGUUUUCGGAUCGUAAAACUCUGUUGUUAGAGAAGAACAGGGGUGAGAGUAACUGUUCAUCCCUUGACGGUACCUAACCAGAAAGCCACGGCUAACUACGUGCCAGCACCGCGGUAAUACAAACCUG